UACGUAGGGGGCGAGCGUUGUCCGGAUUUAUUGGGCGUAAAGAGCGUGUAGGCGGUUCGGUAAGUCUGUCGUGAAAUCCUGAGGCUCAACCUUGGACGUGCGAUGGAUACUGCCGGGCUAGAGGAUGGUAGAGGCGAGUGGAAUUCCCGGUGUAGCGGUGAAAUGCGCAGAUAUCAGGAGGAACACCGAUGGCGAAGGCAGGUCUCUGGGCCAUAACUGACGCUGAGAAGCGAAAGCAUGGGGAGCGAACAGG
Molecule: ribosomal RNA, 253 nt
Filed under: uncultured bacterium
Lineage: Bacteria
Description: partial 16S ribosomal RNA
Rfam family: Bacterial small subunit ribosomal RNA
Source: RNAcentral